Adelges cooleyi (spruce gall adelgid) is the source of this 987-nucleotide long non-coding RNA. RefSeq lists it as uncharacterized. The transcript is spliced from 3 exons. Lineage: Eukaryota; Metazoa; Arthropoda; Insecta; Hemiptera; Adelgidae. The record is from RefSeq and is a predicted model, not a curated record.
UUUGUUGUGAUAACACAGACAAAAUGAAACUUCAUUUAAUCUCUGAUAAUAACAAUAAUAAUAAAGUAUUAACAUUUAACAGUCAACAUAAAUACUGUAGCCGUGUCACGACUUACUUGUACCAAGUGUGUGUUAACGUCCACGUGUGCUAAAAUGGGAGACAAAAACGAUAGUGGUUCUUCAAAGAAAUAUGCAGCAAUAGGAACUGGACUUGGUUUACUAGUUGGAGCUGGAGCAGCCCUGUAUACGUAUUAUAAUUCACAAAACCAAGAAAAUCCUGGACACUCAUCGUCUUCAUCAUCAAUUCCUAGAAACUCGACGUCCUCCUCACAGUCAUCACCAUCAAAAUCUCAAGCUAAAUCAAAAUCGGUAAAAACUUUGACAAAUUCUGACUCUACUAUAUCUACUGAGCCAGAAAGACAAUUACCUCCUGGUUGGCAUUAAUAUGUAUAUUGUAAAAUAGAUAAAUGCAGCUGAUAUAUUGAUAAAAAAAAAAUGAUAAGUAUAAACUUAUUGUAAAAACAUUUAUUGAAGUCACCAUGUUAUUGUGUUGCAAAACAUUAGAGAAAAUCUGUAAAUUUAAAACCAUUUAAACAUCACUGAAAAUAAUAAUUUAUUAAAUACAAUUUGGAAGGCGAAUUUUGAGAAUUUAUUUUUUAUUUUUAUUGUUUACUGUAUUCCAUUUUACAUACUCGAUACUUACAUAUACUAUGCCUUUAUAUUGUUAGUUAAGUUAUAAAUCUCUUAAGGGUCCUAUCACUAGAUAGCUGCCCUACUCGUAAUCUCCAAGUCAUUAUUUACAUUGUUAACCUAUUUGCUUAUUAUUUAUUUUUCUUUAUGUACAGAUUGUGAAUGUUAUUUAAAAUAAAAUAAAAGUUAUAAAUUUAUAUUAUUCCAUUCCUAACAAAUAGUAUGAUUUUUUUAUUGUUAAAAGUCAGAAAAUUCUUAUAGUAUUAUACUUAACUCCAGCUUAUUAACUAUUAUUGU